This 250-nucleotide unclassified non-coding RNA is filed under the name rhizosphere metagenome. RNAcentral's name for it is "partial ribosomal RNA internal transcribed spacer region". The record is from RNAcentral.
GUAGGUGAACCUGCGGAAGGAUCAUUAACGAGAGAGGGGCUUCGCGCCCCAGGGGCUUCGGCCCUACCUCUUCACCCUGUGCGUACCUACCUUUGUUGCUUUGGCGGGCCUCGGGUUCUCCCGACGCCGGCCUGGGGCCAGCCCCGGGCUCGCGCGCGCUCGCCGAAGGUCAUUCCAAACCCUGUCCAUAGGUGUAGUCUGAGUACCUAUCCAAUAACUAAAACUUUCAACAACGGAUCUCUUGGUUCUG